CCAAGAGAAAAGGCACUUGGGAAGUCUGCUAAACCCAGGAACAAAGGAUGGAAAAUACCAUAACAUCUGAGGUACUACUGCUGCAUCCACCUGUCUCCAGCCUCUGCAAGCCCCUCUCACUCCUACAGCUGGACCCGGGCUGCCUGACAACUCGAUUGUCUUUCAGUCAGGUUUGGCCUCCCCCGUGGCUGAAAGGUGCAUUGCUACAUGGAACAGACUGUUCCCCGUGCACAGCUGCAGCGUGGGAUCACAAGGAGACUGGCACAGCAGCAGGAUAUUUCCAUGGUAAGUUCAUCAUUUUGGCAGUUUUCUUAUCAGUUACAGAUCCACUUAUUUCUGGAAUAAGUCAGCUAUUCUUUACAUAACUGCUUGUAUUGGAACCAGAGUGGAAAGACAAUUAGGAAAAAACAAACAAACAAACAGAAAGCACUUUAAAAACAUUUUCAAGACAUUUUAGUGCACAUGCAUGCAGGUAGACUGAUUAUAACAAGCUAAAUAACCAGCUGUGCUGUGCUGAUACAUGGCAUGGAAGUCUAGCCCAAGGAUUCCCUAGGGGAUUAAGGGGAUCUACCUUUGUUUUAUCAGUAUGGGCUGGGUGCUGGAAUCAUACUCAGACAGACAUCAUAAAACUGUGAUGUGUCAGCAUGUUUAGUAAGGAGAAGCCCAGCCACCACACUUAAAUUAACAGGAAUAAGAAGAGCUGCCCACAGAGCACCCAGCUUUCUGAUUGUGUUUCCUGCAUUUCCUUCAGAAUAUCUGAAGGGCUAAAACCUCUAGCCACGUUUGAAGAAAAUCUAAUUUGAUUUCUUGCAUUUAAAAACAAA
This 824-nucleotide long non-coding RNA is filed under the name Anas platyrhynchos platyrhynchos (common mallard). Its description in RNAcentral is "lncRNA (ENSAPLG00000017824.1)". Lineage: Eukaryota; Metazoa; Chordata; Aves; Anseriformes; Anatidae. The record is from RNAcentral.